GAGUAGUUUGUUGCACUUUUUUUUAAAAAAGUACUUUUCCUCCACAAACAACAACAGCCCAGCCUACCCCGGCAGCUAGUAGGUAGGCACCGCCCUCAAAAUGUGGAGGCCGAGCACCGCAAGCCAAUCACCCACGCAGAGCGCUUUAAAGAGAGAGUCGCGUCAACGGAAGCUCAACUGCUGGAACAAAAGGAUCCCUUCGAUGAAUCAUUCAGUGCCUCCAGUAGGUUGGCAGGCCCAGACCACUGGAAACAACUAUGGAAAGUAGUACUAGAAGUCAACCACAUUUGACCUUCCAGAAGUAGACCCGGCCGGUCGUUCCUCACCUUUACAUGAGAGAAAGAACUCAAACCGGUUUGAGGUGCCCCCCUUCUGGUCUGCUGGUCUGAUCCGACUCUGCACCUCUACUGUCAGGAGGUCCUGUCGCUGAGGUCUGGACGUCAGACCGAUGAGUCGUCGUCUUCUUCUUCUCCCCUGAGACGUUCACGCCUCUCAGCCAGAGAUCAGGGUUUACUGUUGGAGACAAACAGAAGUUUGACUCACAAAGUAGAUAUCGGUGAUUGGCACGUCGUCUUCAUCGUCGACUGAAGCCUGGCUGGUGCAGCCGGAGCCGGACACCCGGCUGGCCCCGUCCGCCUCCACCACCACCACCACCUUGGGACUGGACGGGGCUUCAUUGGCUGCCCCGGAGGAGGAAGAGGAGGAGGGGGGGGGGGGAGGGGCAGGCGAGGAUGAGGAGGAGGCCGCCGCUGCUGCUGCUUCAGGUGCGGACGAAGAGCCGGCUCCUUCCUGAACUUCACUGGAAGAAGGUGCAGGUGGCUAAACAAGUUUUUCUGUGUGUUGCUACAAACUGGGGGGGGGGUCGCCCCGACAACCAUCUACUGUGUUUAAUACGCUGCAUCGCCGCGCUCUGCCCGCGGGCGUUAUUCACCCUCGUCCUCCAGCGUGGGGAAGCUGCGAGCU
This is a long non-coding RNA of Cyclopterus lumpus (lumpfish), 963 nucleotides long. RefSeq lists it as uncharacterized. The record is from RefSeq and is a predicted model, not a curated record. Lineage: Eukaryota; Metazoa; Chordata; Actinopteri; Perciformes; Cyclopteridae. The transcript has 6 exons.